ACCAAUGAGCUCCAGCUUCCCCUGCAUUUUCAUUGGUCGGAGAGAGUGAACCGUUGUGAAGACAAAUGGACAAUCAACGACCUCAGGUUUCUGAAUCAUUUGCGGUGUUCAAGAAAAAGCCACAUACAAUAACAGCUUUCCCCUGGUGCAUCUAUUGUAGCUGAGAUUCCCCCACCAGAAUCCAGCAAGGAAGCAAGUAGUGUUAGAACACCAAGCAGUAAGGCUAAUGCAGACUUUACCACCUAUGGUUAAGGCAGCUGAUUCGCCCUCUCUUUGUCCAAGAACAUUCUUUCAAUGGCUCACAGGACAGGAACACAUCAGACCAGUUCGUCUGUGGAUAUUUG
Long non-coding RNA from Trichomycterus rosablanca, 344 nucleotides. RefSeq lists it as uncharacterized. The record is from RefSeq and is a predicted model, not a curated record. The transcript has 3 exons. NCBI's taxonomy places the organism in Eukaryota, Metazoa, Chordata, Actinopteri, Siluriformes, Trichomycteridae.